RNAcentral lists this transfer RNA (73 nucleotides) under Carnegiella strigata (marbled hatchetfish). RNAcentral describes it as "tRNA-Leu (CUN)". It matches the Rfam family "tRNA". Rfam says of the family: Transfer RNA (tRNA) molecules are approximately 80 nucleotides in length. Their secondary structure includes four short double-helical elements and three loops (D, anti-codon, and T loops). Further hydrogen bonds mediate the characteristic L-shaped molecular structure. tRNAs have two regions of fundamental functional importance: the anti-codon, which is responsible for specific mRNA codon recognition, and the 3' end, to which the tRNAs corresponding amino acid is attached (by aminoacyl-tRNA synthetases). tRNAs cope with the degeneracy of the genetic code in two manners: having more than one tRNA (with a specific anti-codon) for a particular amino acid; and 'wobble' base-pairing, i.e. permitting non-standard base-pairing at the 3rd anti-codon position. Lineage: Eukaryota; Metazoa; Chordata; Actinopteri; Characiformes; Gasteropelecidae. The record is from RNAcentral.
GCUUUUGAAGGAUAGAAGCAUAUCCAUUGGUCUUAGGAACCAAAAACCCUUGGUGCAAAUCCAAGCAAAAGCU